This 246-nucleotide ribosomal RNA is filed under the name Acorus sp. 'Mt. Emei'. Its description in RNAcentral is "partial 28S ribosomal RNA". It matches the Rfam family "Eukaryotic large subunit ribosomal RNA", at positions 1 to 249 of the family's 3401-position model. The record is from RNAcentral. Lineage: Eukaryota; Viridiplantae; Streptophyta; Magnoliopsida; Acorales; Acoraceae.
CUCAGGUCAGGCGGGGCCACCCGCUGAGUUUAAGCAUAUCAAUAAGCGGAGGAGAAGAAACUUACGAGGAUUCCCCUAGUAACGGCGAGCGAAACGGGAAGAGCCCAGCUUGAGAAUCGGGCAGCCCCGCUGUUUGAAUUGUAGUCUGUAGAAGCGCCGUCAGUGGCGGACCGGGCCCAAGUCCCCUGGAACGGGGCGCCGGAGAGGGUGAGCGCCCCGUCGUGCCCGGACCCUGCCGCAUCACGA